This 484-nucleotide ribosomal RNA is filed under the name Granulicatella adiacens. RNAcentral's name for it is "bacterial SSU rRNA". It matches the Rfam family "Bacterial small subunit ribosomal RNA", at positions 28 to 494 of the family's 1533-position model. Lineage: Bacteria; Bacillati; Bacillota; Bacilli; Lactobacillales; Carnobacteriaceae. The record is from RNAcentral.
GACGAACGCUGCGGCGUGCCUAAUACAUGCAAGUCGAACGAGAGCGACCGGUGCUUGCACUGGUCAAUCUAGUGGCGAACGGGUGAGUAACACGUGGGUAACCUGCCCAUCAGAGGGGGAUAACAUUCGGAAACGGAUGCUAAAACCGCAUAGGUCCUUUAACCGCAUGGUUGAAGGAGGAAAAGAGGCGCAAGCUUCUGCUGAUGGAUGGACCCGCGGUGCAUUAGCUAGUUGGUGAGGUAACGGCUCACCAAGGCCGUGAUGCAUAGCCGACCUGAGAGGGUGAUCGGCCACAUUGGGACUGAGACACGGCCCAAACUCCUACGGGAGGCAGCAGUAGGGAAUCUUCCGCAAUGGACGCAAGUCUGACGGAGCAACGCCGCGUGAGUGAAGAAGGUUUUCGGAUCGUAAAACUCUGUUGUUAGAGAAGAACAAGUGCUAGAGUAACUGUUAGCGCCUUGACGGUAUCUAACCAGAAAGCCCG